Molecule: ribosomal RNA, 259 nt
Filed under: uncultured bacterium
Lineage: Bacteria
Description: partial 16S ribosomal RNA
Rfam family: Bacterial small subunit ribosomal RNA
Source: RNAcentral
CGGAGAAAGCUUUAUGCACCAUUGGAUGAGCCUGCACUUGAUUAGUUUGUUGGUAGGGUAAUGGCCUACCAAGACUGUGAUCAAUAGCUGAUUUGAGAGGAUGAUCAGCCACAUUGGGACUGAGACACGGCCCAAACUCCUACGGGAGGCAGCAGUGGGGAAUCUUGCACAAUGGAGGAAACUCUGAUGCAGCGAUGCCGCGUGAGUGAAGAAGGCCCUUGGGUUGUAAAGCUCUUUCGUCGGGGAAGAAAAUGACUGU